Molecule: ribosomal RNA, 250 nt
Filed under: uncultured bacterium
Lineage: Bacteria
Description: partial 16S ribosomal RNA
Rfam family: Bacterial small subunit ribosomal RNA
Source: RNAcentral
UGAGGAAUAUUGGGCAAUGCUCGAAAGAGUGACCCAGCAACGCCGCGUGGAGGAUGAAGGUAUUCUAUAUCGUAAACUCCUGUGAGAGCAGACGAAAGACAGAUUAUUAAUCUGGAUGACUGUAUGCUCAGAGGAAGCCCCGGCUAACUACGUGCCAGCAGCCGCGGUAAUACGUAGGGGGCAAGCGUUGUCCGGAUUCACUGGGUGUAAAGGGCGCGUAGGCGGGAUAGCAAGUCAGUGGUGAAAUCUU